RNAcentral lists this unclassified non-coding RNA (321 nucleotides) under Hispidaedalea imponens. RNAcentral describes it as "partial contains 5.8S ribosomal RNA, internal transcribed spacer 2, and large subunit ribosomal RNA". The record is from RNAcentral. Lineage: Eukaryota; Fungi; Basidiomycota; Agaricomycetes; Gloeophyllales; Gloeophyllaceae.
CGCACCUUGCGCUCCUUGGUAUUCCGAGGAGCAUGCUUGUUUGAGUGUCACGAAAUCAUCAACUCUCUGAGUUCUAUUCUUAGAGGGCUUGGAAUUGGGGAUUGCUGGUGGAAGCCGGCUUCUCUCGAAAGCAUUAGCUUGAAUGACGUUUGCGGCGUUCCUGCAGUGUGAUAAUGUCGUCAUUGCAUGCCGUCAUUCCGUGAAUCAAGCUUCGAAUCGCGCUUCGCGCGCUUCUCGCCGAUCCUCGACGUCGAUCCUUCGACGCCGAUCAUUGUCGAUCAUCUAGACCUCAAAUCAAGUAGGACUACCCGCUGAACUUAA